ACGUCUCUAAUAACUAAUGGAAUCUGUAUGGCUAAAGUCCUUUGCCUUUCCCAUUAGGGAUAAAUUGAAAAUAAAAAAAAAUAAGCAAUGGAAAAUGUACGAUUUAUUUACGAAUUUCUAUACAUUAUACAGGUUUAAAUAAUCUUUAUUAAUAUUUAGACGGAACUCCGGCAGAAAAAAUAACUUGGAGGUGUUCCAUUCAAGGUUGGGAAUGACACAGGGGGUAUUUCUCCAUCCCCUCUUCCAUCUCCCAUCAAAAAAACCUCAAAAAUCGACGGGUCAUAUUGGAAAGUUUAACC
Pieris rapae (cabbage white) is the source of this 299-nucleotide long non-coding RNA. RefSeq lists it as uncharacterized. Lineage: Eukaryota; Metazoa; Arthropoda; Insecta; Lepidoptera; Pieridae. The transcript is spliced from 2 exons. The record is from RefSeq and is a predicted model, not a curated record.